Molecule: non-coding RNA, 153 nt
Organism: Burkholderiales bacterium RIFCSPHIGHO2_12_63_9
Lineage: Bacteria; Pseudomonadati; Pseudomonadota; Betaproteobacteria; Burkholderiales
Source: Rfam
CCUCGUAUACGACUACGAGUAGCCUACGGUGACGUGCCGGACCAGCAAUGGACCGGUGCGAAGCUCACCUGACAACGUAUCCCCCGCGCAAGCGGUGGUCUGUAUCCGCGAGGAUUCAGACCAGACACUGCCAGCAGUACGGCGGUAGAGGGG